UACGGAGGGAACUAGCGUUGUUCGGAUUUACUGGGCGUAAAGGGCGCGUAGGCGGUUUAGUAAGUUAGAAGUGAAAGCCCGGGGCUUAACUCCGGAACUGCUUCUAAAACUACUAAACUAGAGUGCGGGAGAGGAUAAUGGAAUUCCUAGUGUAGAGGUGAAAUUCUUAGAUAUUAGGAGGAACACCAGUGGCGAAAGCGAUUAUCUGGAACGCAACUGACGCUGAGGCGCGAAAGCGUGGGGAGCAAACAGG
This 253-nucleotide ribosomal RNA is filed under the name uncultured bacterium. RNAcentral's name for it is "partial 16S ribosomal RNA". It matches the Rfam family "Bacterial small subunit ribosomal RNA", at positions 524 to 776 of the family's 1533-position model. The record is from RNAcentral.